CCCUUAGAUGUUCUGGGCCGCACGCGCGCUACACUGAUGCAUUCAACAAGCCUAGCCUUGACCGAGAGGUCCGGGUAAUCUUUGAAACUGCAUCGCGAUGGGGCUAGAUUAUUGCAAUUAUUAAUCUUCAACGAGGAAUGCCUAGUAAGCGUGAUUCAUCAAAUCGCGUUGAUUACGUCCCUGCCCUUUGUACACACCGCCCGUCGCUCCUACCGAUUGAAUGUGUUGGUGAGGAGCUCGGAUUGGCAGCAGUUGGUGGUUCGCCACCGGCUAUUGCUGAGAAGUCCUCCAAACCGCCCCAUUUAGAGGAAGGAGAAGUCGUAACA
This 326-nucleotide ribosomal RNA is filed under the name uncultured eukaryote. RNAcentral's name for it is "partial 18S ribosomal RNA". It matches the Rfam family "Eukaryotic small subunit ribosomal RNA", at positions 1470 to 1796 of the family's 1831-position model. The record is from RNAcentral.